Molecule: transfer RNA, 68 nt
Filed under: Acanthocardia tuberculata (tuberculate cockle)
Lineage: Eukaryota; Metazoa; Mollusca; Bivalvia; Cardiida; Cardiidae
Description: tRNA-Met
Source: RNAcentral
GCUAAGGUAAACUAAAAAAGUUAUAGGAUUCAUAAUCCUGGUAUGGGAUAUGUCCCCCUUAGUAAGGU